RNAcentral lists this ribosomal RNA (438 nucleotides) under uncultured soil bacterium. RNAcentral's name for it is "bacterial SSU rRNA". It matches the Rfam family "Bacterial small subunit ribosomal RNA", at positions 26 to 481 of the family's 1533-position model. The record is from RNAcentral.
AGGACGAACGCUGGCGGCGUGCUUAACACAUGCAAGUCGAGCGGUAAGGCCUUUCGGGGUACACGAGCGGCGAACGGGUGAGUAACACGUGGGUGAUCUGCCCUGCACUCUGGGAUAAGCCUGGGAAACUGGGUCUAAUACCGGAUAUGACCUGCUCUCGCAUGGGGGUGGGUGGAAAGAUUUAUUGGUGCAGGAUGGGCCCGCGGCCUAUCAGCUUGUUGGUGGGGUAAUGGCCUACCAAGGCGACGACGGGUAGCCGACCUGAGAGGGUGACCGGCCACACUGGGACUGAGACACGGCCCAGACUCCUACGGGAGCAGCAGUGGGAAUAUUGCACAAUGGGACGAAAGCCUGAUGCAGCGACGCCGCGUGAGGAUGAAGGCCUUCGGGUUGUAAACCUCUUUCAGCGAGGGACGAAGCGCGAAGUGACGGUACCCG